AAAAAGUCAAUAAUAAACCACAACACCAAUAUAAAGAUUUAAACUUUAGAUAAUCUCUCGUGUGAAUUUUCAUUUCAGAAAAAAGAGCUCCUCCCCGGCUGACCCGGGUCGACUUUCGAGUCAUACACGAGAGGUACCGCAGGCUCUGGGCGCUACAGCCCCCGCCGGGCGAAGGUGACCGGCGGGCGGUCAAGGCCCAUGUCCGGGUAUGUGUGGGAUGAGAAAAGAAGUUAUUACACCAUCAGUUUCAUUGUCCUGGGCAGCAAUGUUUGUUGGAAGUACUUGUGGGUUUUUUUUAAUGUGUUUUUUUCAGGAGGAGCUCGCAAAUGGGCGUGUCCCAGUAAGUAUUUCUCCAGGGUUUUUUUUUUUCCCCCCCAGCAAAAGUAAGUACCUAUGCAGUAGUAGCACCCAGAUUUUCAGCAUAAUGGUAUUUUGCAUUGCAUUGCUGUUUUGAUGCAGUUUUCUGUCUUCAUUUAUGUUGGAAGUGAUAAGUAGAGCCGUACGUUUUAAUUUUUUUCAGAAAUCUCUCAGACCGUGGUAUAUCAUGUUUAGGUGGAAACUAGUGAGCUAACUUCACGAAGCUCUUGACUACUUAAGUAUUCUUUUUAAGAUUCAAGAUUAAGAAUCUUGAAUCCUCACCCUUCUUGAGCUUCUCGAGUGAUGUUGCGAUCACUUGGUAUACAGUGGCUUGCAAAAGUAUUCGGCCCCCUUGAAC
Long non-coding RNA from Oreochromis aureus, 715 nucleotides. Lineage: Eukaryota; Metazoa; Chordata; Actinopteri; Cichliformes; Cichlidae. The record is from Ensembl.